This 407-nucleotide ribosomal RNA is filed under the name uncultured prokaryote. RNAcentral describes it as "bacterial SSU rRNA". It matches the Rfam family "Bacterial small subunit ribosomal RNA", at positions 355 to 776 of the family's 1533-position model. RNAcentral also lists the same sequence under 1 other name. The record is from RNAcentral.
UGAAGAAUAUUGGGCAAUGGGCGAAAGCCUGACCCAGCAACGCCGCGUGAAGGAAGAAGGUUUUCGGAUUGUAAACUUCUGUCCCAUGGGAAGAAAAAAAUGACGGUACCAUGGGAGGAAGCCCCGGCUAACUACGUGCCAGCAGCCGCGGUAAUACGUAGGGGGCGAGCGUUGUCCGGAAUGACUGGGCGUAAAGGGCGCGUAGACGGCUGUCUAAGUCUGGAGUGAAAGUCCUGCUUUCAAGGUGGGAAUUGCUUUGGAGACUGGAUGGCUUGAGUGCGGAAGAGGUAAGUGGAAUUCCCAGUGUAGCGGUGAAAUGCGUAGAGAUUGGGAGGAACACCAGUGUCGAAGGCGACUUACUGGGCCGUAACUGACGUUGAUGCGCGAAAGCGUGGGGAGCGAACAGG